This is a non-coding RNA of Cercophora newfieldiana, 111 nucleotides long. The record is from the annotation of a GenBank genome assembly. NCBI's taxonomy places the organism in Eukaryota, Fungi, Ascomycota, Sordariomycetes, Sordariales, Lasiosphaeriaceae.
GGUUUCGUGGUCUAGCGGUAUGAUUCUCGCUUAGGGUAAUAACCUAAGCACAUUUGUUCUCCUGAACAAAAAACAUGCGAGAGGUCCCGGGUUCAAUCCCCGGCGAAACCC